RNAcentral lists this ribosomal RNA (1002 nucleotides) under Buchnera aphidicola (Prociphilus erigeronensis). RNAcentral's name for it is "bacterial SSU rRNA". It matches the Rfam family "Bacterial small subunit ribosomal RNA", at positions 327 to 1322 of the family's 1533-position model. Lineage: Bacteria; Pseudomonadati; Pseudomonadota; Gammaproteobacteria; Enterobacterales; Erwiniaceae. The record is from RNAcentral.
CCGUCCAGACUCCUACGGGAGGCAGCAGUGGGGAAUAUUGCACAAUGGGCGAAAGCCUGAUGCAGCUAUACCGCGUGUAUGAAGAAGGCCUUAGGGUUGUAAAGUACUUUCGUUGGGGAGGAAAAAUAAAUAGAUAAUACCUGUUUAUCGUGACGUUACCCAAAAAAGAAGCACCGGCUAACUCCGUGCCAGCAGCCGCGGUAAUACGGAGGGUGCAAGCGUUAAUCAGAAUUACUGGGCGUAAAGAGCUCGUAGGCGGUUUUUUAAGUCAGAUGUGAAAUCCCUGGGCUUAACCUAGGAACUGCAUUUGAAACUAAAAGACUAGAGUAUCGUAGAGGGAGGUAGAAUUCUAGGUGUAGCGGUGAAAUGCGUAGAUAUCUGGAGGAAUACCUGUGGCGAAAGCGGCCUCCUAAAUGAAUACUGACGCUGAGGUGCGAAAGCAUGGGGAGCAAACAGGAUUAGAUACCCUGGUAGUCCAUGCCGUAAACGAUGUCGACUUGGAGGUUGUUUCCUUGAGAAGUGACUUCCGAAGCUAACGCGUUAAGUCGACCGCCUGGGGAGUACGGUCGCAAGGCUAAAACUCAAAUGAAUUGACGGGGGCCCGCACAAGCGGUGGAGCAUGUGGUUUAAUUCGAUGCAACGCGAAAAACCUUACCUGGUCUUGACAUCCACAGAAUUUUUCAGAGAUGAAAAAGUGCCUUAGGGAACUGUGAGACAGGUGCUGCAUGGCUGUCGUCAGCUCGUGUUGUGAAAUGUUGGGUUAAGUCCCGCAACGAGCGCAACCCUUAUCCUCUGUUGCCAUUGGUUCGGCCAGGAACUCAGAGGAGACUGCCGGUUAUAAACCGGAGGAAGGCGGGGACGACGUCAAGUCAUCAUGGCCCUUACGACCAGGGCUACACACGUGCUACAAUGGUGUAUACAAAGAGAAGCAACUCUGCAAAGACAAGCAAACCUCAUAAAGUACAUCGUAGUCCGGACUGGAGUCUGCAACUCGACUCCCGA